UACCAGCACCCCGAGUGGUCGGGACGAUUAUUGGGCCUAAAGCAUCCGUAGCCGGUCCUGCAAGUCUUCCGUUAAAUCCAGCUGCUUAACAGAUGGGCUGCGGGAGAUACUACAGGGCUAGGAGGCGGGAGAGGCAAGCGGUACUUUAUGGGUAGGGGUAAAAUCCGCUGAUCCAUAGAAGACCACCAGUGGCGAAGGCGGCUUGCCAGAACGCGCUCGACGGUGAGGGAUGAAAGCUGGGGGAGCAAACCGG
Molecule: ribosomal RNA, 253 nt
Filed under: uncultured bacterium
Lineage: Bacteria
Description: partial 16S ribosomal RNA
Rfam family: Archaeal small subunit ribosomal RNA
Source: RNAcentral